UAAUUGAAGAGUUUGAUCAUGGCUCAGAUUGAACGCUGGCGGCAGGCUUAACACAUGCAAGUCGAACGGUAACAGGAGAAAAGCUUGCUUUUUUUGCUGACGAGUGGCGGACGGGUGAGUAAUGCUUGGGAAUCUGCCUUAUGGAGGGGGAUAACUACGGGAAACUGUAGCUAAUACCGCGUAAUGUCUUUGGACUAAAGUAUGGGAUCUUCGGACCAUAUGCCAUGAGAUGAGCCCAAGUGAGAUUAGGUAGUUGGUGAGGUAAAGGCUCACCAAGCUGACGAUCUCUAGCUGGUUUGAGAGGAUGACCAGCCACACUGGGACUGAGACACGGCCCAGACUCCUACGGGAGGCAGCAGUGGGGAAUAUUGCACAAUGGGGGAAACCCUGAUGCAGCCAUGCCGCGUGAAUGAAGAAGGCUUUCGGGUUGUAAAGUUCUUUCAGCGAUGAGGAAGGGUUUGU
RNAcentral lists this ribosomal RNA (462 nucleotides) under Phocoenobacter skyensis. RNAcentral describes it as "bacterial SSU rRNA". It matches the Rfam family "Bacterial small subunit ribosomal RNA", at positions 1 to 457 of the family's 1533-position model. The record is from RNAcentral. Lineage: Bacteria; Pseudomonadati; Pseudomonadota; Gammaproteobacteria; Pasteurellales; Pasteurellaceae.